This 856-nucleotide ribosomal RNA is filed under the name uncultured organism. Its description in RNAcentral is "bacterial SSU rRNA". It matches the Rfam family "Bacterial small subunit ribosomal RNA", at positions 527 to 1382 of the family's 1533-position model. The record is from RNAcentral.
GGAGGGUGCAAGCGUUAAUCGGAAUUACUGGGCGUAAAGCGUGCGUAGGCGGUUUAUUAAGUCAGAUGUGAAAGCCCCGGGCUUAACCUGGGAACUGCAUUUGAAACUGGUCAACUAGAGUAUGGUAGAGGAAAGUGGAAUUUCUGGUGUAGCGGUGAAAUGCGUAGAUAUCAGAAGGAACAUCAAUGGCGAAGGCAGCUUUCUGGACCAAUACUGACGCUGAGGUACGAAAGCGUGGGUAGCAAACAGGAUUAGAUACCCUGGUAGUCCACGCCGUAAACGAUGAUAACUAGCCGUUGGGGGGAUUUACCCCUUAGUGGCGAAGCUAACGCGUUAAGUUAUCCGCCUGGGGAGUACGGCCGCAAGGCUAAAACUCAAAGGAAUUGACGGGGACCCGCACAAGCGGUGGAGCAUGUGGUUUAAUUCGAUGCAACGCGAAGAACCUUACCUGGUCUUGACAUCCUGCGAACUUUCUAGAAAUAGAUUGGUGCCUUCGGGAACGCAGUGACAGGUGCUGCAUGGCUGUCGUCAGCUCGUGUCGUGAGAUGUUGGGUUAAGUCCCGUAACGAGCGCAACCCCUAUCCUUAUUUGCCAGCACAUUAUGGUGGGAACUAUAAGGAGACUGCCGGUGAUAAACCGGAGGAAGGCGGGGACGACGUCAAGUCAUCAUGGCCCUUACGACCAGGGCUACACACGUGCUACAAUGGGAAGUACAAAGAGUCGCGAAGCCGCGAGGUGUAGCUAAUCUCACAAAUCUUCUCGUAGUCCGGAUUGGAGUCUGCAACUCGACUCCAUGAAGUCGGAAUCGCUAGUAAUCGUAGAUCAGAAUGCUACGGUGAAUACGUUCCCAGGUCUU